Molecule: non-coding RNA, 30 nt
Filed under: Rattus norvegicus (Norway rat)
Lineage: Eukaryota; Metazoa; Chordata; Mammalia; Rodentia; Muridae
Source: RNAcentral
UUCUAAGCCACACAAAGAAACCUUGAUAGA